UACAGAGGGUGCGAGCGUUGUCCGGAAUCACUGGGCGUAAAGGGCGCGUAGGUGGUGACCUAAGCGUGCGGUGAAAGCCCGAGGCUCAACCUCGGGUCGGCCGUGCGAACUGGCUCACUGGAGCAGAAUAGAGGCAGGUGGAAUUCCGGGUGUAGCGGUGGAAUGCGUAGAGAUCCGGAAGAACACCGGUGGCGAAGGCGGCCUGCUGGGUUCUGGCUGACACUGAGGCGCGACAGCGUGGGGAGCAAACAGG
RNAcentral lists this ribosomal RNA (253 nucleotides) under uncultured bacterium. Its description in RNAcentral is "partial 16S ribosomal RNA". It matches the Rfam family "Bacterial small subunit ribosomal RNA", at positions 524 to 776 of the family's 1533-position model. The record is from RNAcentral.